Molecule: long non-coding RNA, 630 nt
Organism: Cucurbita moschata (crookneck pumpkin)
Lineage: Eukaryota; Viridiplantae; Streptophyta; Magnoliopsida; Cucurbitales; Cucurbitaceae
Exons: 2
Source: RefSeq, a predicted model, not a curated record
GUCAGUAUCUCAUUGAAUGCAACAAAGGAGACUGCACGUGUUUUACAGGAACAUCAUCCCGAACUUCUUGGAUUGGCAAUUCUAUACAGCUGUAAUAGCCUAAGUUCACCGCUAGCAUUUGGACUUCCUCUCAAAGUUUUAAACGUCUGAUAGAGGUUGCAAAGCCUUCCCUGGAGACAAAAACAGCCAAGAAAGUGAAAUUCGUUUACUCCAAGAGGACACUAGGAGGAUGUGUUCGAUAUGGACCAGCUGGUGCCUGCAUUUGGUGGAAACAAUAAUGCUGGUUUCAACAUAACCAAACAUGCUGAGAUGAUGAAACAAUGGUAAGCAGAAAAAGCUCAGAAAAACCUCAAACUCUUCUUGUGAAUCCUCAGAGAUUCAAGUUCAACUCAUGAAGGUUUAGUGUUUGAAGAGUGAAGAGAGUUCCAUAUCAAACUAUGCACUAAUCUCUCAUUCUUCUUGACAGUUGCUGAAGAAAUCUGUCCAUUAGUAUGUUGUGAGCUGACAGUGAUCUAAACAUGUUUGGUUGUGUUAAUUUUGUUUCAAGUCAAUAGUUCAUCUCUGAAACAGAAAGAUGGUAAGAAACGACGGAACUCUAAUGAUUUGUGAAAAAGGUGAAACAUUCAACUG